Molecule: microRNA precursor, 56 nt
Filed under: Oryctolagus cuniculus (rabbit)
Lineage: Eukaryota; Metazoa; Chordata; Mammalia; Lagomorpha; Leporidae
Description: microRNA ocu-mir-370 precursor
Gene: ocu-mir-370
Source: miRBase by way of RNAcentral
CAGGUCACGUCUCUGCAGUUGCACGGCUCUGAGUGCCUGCUGGGGUGGAACCUGGU